GAAAAGAUAAGAAAAGAAAAGAAAAAGAACGUUCACUAAAAUCUUUGAUUUUUCCACCAAAUAACAAAUUGGCCAAAAUUCGCAUUAGAAACUCACUUAGAAUCCAAAAUCUUUAUCCUAAGAAAACUCAACAUUAUAUUUCUUUGUAUUGCAUAAUGUAGGAAGAAAAGAAAAAACAAAGAAAUCAAAAUCUGGCAUUUUCAAAGGCACGCUGAUGUGAUGCAAUAGGCUUUGCCUUCUCCCCCACUUAUUGACCCCCUUUAUGCCUUUGGAUCUGCAUUGCUUGUAGCCUAUGUCGAUGCCUGAUUGGAAUUUAAUUAAGUUUCAAGCUUAUGUUGUUGAGGACUUUAAAAUUUCAAUUUAUUGGAAUUCUUGAGUUCCUAUAAGAAAUAAUAAGUAGCUAUACCAUACUGUAUAAACCUAAAUGGCAAAUAAAUGCAUGCAUGGGCAAGAAUUGCUUCAAUAUCUUAUAUAUAUAAACAACUUAAAACUAAAUCUCCUUAUGAAUAGUGUGAAUAUAAAUGCAUGCAUGGGCAAGAAUUGCUUCAAUAUCUUAU
Molecule: unclassified non-coding RNA, 557 nt
Filed under: Hevea brasiliensis (rubber tree)
Lineage: Eukaryota; Viridiplantae; Streptophyta; Magnoliopsida; Malpighiales; Euphorbiaceae
Source: RNAcentral